CCUACGGGAGGCAGCAGUGAGGAAUAUUGGUCAAUGGACGAGAGUCUGAACCAGCCAAGUAGCGUGAAGGAUGACUGCCCUAUGGGUUGUAAACUUCUUUUAUAAAGGAAUAAAACGAGGCACGUGUGCCUUUUUGCAUGUACUUUAUGAAUAAGGAUCGGCUAACUCCGUGCCAGCAGCCGCGGUAAUACGGAGGAUCCGAGCGUUAUCCGGAUUUAUUGGGUUUAAAGGGAGCGUAGUUGGGUUGUUAAGUCAGUUGUGAAAUUUUGCGGCUCAAACGUAAAAUUGAAAUUGAUACGGGCAGUCUUGAGUCCAGUUGAGGUAGGCUGAAUACUUGGUGUAGCGUUGAAAUUCUUAGUUAUCACGAAGAACCCCAAUUGCGAGGGCAGCUUACUAAACUGUGACUGACAUUGAUGCUCGAAAGUGUGGUUAUCAAACGGAUUAGAUACCCCAGUAGUC
Molecule: ribosomal RNA, 459 nt
Filed under: uncultured bacterium
Lineage: Bacteria
Description: partial 16S ribosomal RNA
Rfam family: Bacterial small subunit ribosomal RNA
Source: RNAcentral